Equus caballus (horse) is the source of this 4256-nucleotide long non-coding RNA. Lineage: Eukaryota; Metazoa; Chordata; Mammalia; Perissodactyla; Equidae. The record is from Ensembl.
AGACUGAUAUAAAUAAAUACGUUGAAAGUUUGAGGAACAACAGGUAUUUAAGUAGUUUUCAAUACAUUCCCCAUAAAAUACUUAAUAAUUACAAAGAAGGAAGAAGAAACUACAUGGAGAAGCCUGUUGGACACCACCCUAAUCAAGUGAUCAGAGUGAUCCUCAUCAAUAGUGGGACGAAUGGAAAUCUUGAGCCACCUAAUGGGAUGCAAUGAGAAGAGCCCAGCAUCACUUCCGUGAUAUUCCUAUCAAAGAUGUAUAACCUGAAUUUUGACUUUUUUUGUGUGUGUGUGUGGUGAGGAAGAUUGGCCCUGGGCUAACAUCUGUUGCCCAUCCUCCCCUUUUUGCUUGUGGAAGAUUGUCCUUGAGCUAACAUCUGUGCCAAUCUUCCUCUAUUUUUGUAUGUGGGAUGCUGCCACAGCAUGGCAUGAGGAACAGUGCCUAGGUCCGUGCCCAGGGUCCAAACACACAAACCCUGGGCCACCGAAGCAGAGCAUGUGAACGUAACCACUACGCCACCACACCGGCCCCUGAAUUUUGACCUAAAAAAAUAUUUAUUUUUUAGGUGAUCCCACAAGGAGGAAACAAUCAGACAAAUCCAGGCUAUGAGACAUUCUAUAAGACAAGCAGAUGGGACAGCUGGGGAGAGGCGGGGAGAGGAUGUCAUCAGGCACCUGGGAGGGAGUGGGCAGUCCCGUUACAUACACACUGCACCCUAUUACAGCCCUGCAGACUUUUUGUAGCUGAGGAAACUGAGGCACAGGGAGGUGAAGUCAAUUCUUCAAGGACCCAGCCGCAGACCCUGGAUUGGGCUUGUCUUCAAAGCCCUCACUCCCAUCUGCAGGCCGAUUCUGGAAUUGAUGGUUGGAGCAAUUUUGGGUGGCGGAUGGGGCACAGGCAAGACAUGACUGAACUUUUUGGCUGGGACUGGCACAGGGCAGGCAUUUACUCGACAUUUGUUGGUGGAUACAGGGCUCUGUGCUCCCGGGCCAGAGGCCGGCUUACACAGGUAGAACAUGCACAAAGAGGAUUCUAGACGCAUCCCUGCUGGGGGGCAGCCAGGGCUGAGAGCCCGGGCUGUGGGCCCAAGGGCCUGGAGGAACAGGGUGCCUUCUGUUUGACCUCAAGGAGCAGCUGCCACCUUCUCCCUCCCACUUCUCUAUCAAGGCCUGUAGCAGCAAGAAAAUUGUAGUCUCAUUACCCAGUGACCCGAGAAGCACAAUUAAGCUGAAAAUUAGUUGGCAUAAUUAAUUAGAUGGGUAAAUAGCUCCCUGUCAACACCAAUCAAUCCAUUCUGCAUAUAAUCAGCUCGGCACCGGCAGGAAGGAGCUCCUGCAGCUGCUGCUUCUGCUGGUGGGCCAGGGCCUGGGGGGAGCGGAAAUGGGCACCAGGGGACAGGAUGUGCAGCCAGGGUAGGAGACCUUGCUGUGCUCCCCACACCGCAUGUGGAGCGUGGGCGAUGGACCUUGGAGCCCGUUCCCGGCCAGGUCACGGAAAGGCCUACCUGGUCACUGAAAUCAGAGCCCACACACCUUUGGAAUGUGGAGCCAGGUCUUUGAUCAGAGUAAAAGCUGAGGAUAUAGAAAUGAACCAACUGCAGGUCUGCCCUCAAAGAAAGACGUGCAGUUACAGUGGAAUGUGAGGAGCGCUUCCUGUCAUCAUCAAAUGCCGGUGGGCCCGCCGUGGGCUCUGCACAGCCUACAGCUUGGCCCCCGCUGUGGAGGGGCCUACACUCCACUGGGAAAGACAGCAAAGGAGGAGUCACGACCUCCAACCUCCAGCUGGGAUGAGUGUUAAGGUCAGGGGAGCAAGAGCUGUGAGAAUACAGAGCCGGGUGUCCUGGCCCAGCCCAGGGCUGGAGGCGUGGUGAGGACCUCAAAGAGACAAGUUCCAGAGGGCAGGCCUCGGCGCUGGGGCACAGGGUGACUUCCUCCUGAAGCUGUUAGGCAGGACACAGACAAGCCCAGAUUAAUGCCUGUGACAGAGGCCUCUGGCCACAGUGUGGAGAAGAGCAAGAGGCCCUCAGGGAACAUCCGGGCUGGCAGGGGUCAGGCCUUCCUUCUUCUCUGUGCUUCGUCAGCACAGUCAGAGCAAUGACUCUCAGACGCUUCCACAACAGGCUGACUCACACGGUGCGGUCCGCUCGUCCAGUCACAAAUGGAGCUGGGAGGACGUGGCCUUUCGCUGCCCUGGAUAGAUGACAAAAGAACUGUUGGCUGUUCCUCCCGCCCUGCACUCGGCCUCCCUGAACUUGCCCAGCUGGCUGCACCCUCGCUUCUGGCUUGUCACAGCCAGAAUACUGAGAGGAGACACGUGGGCCACAGCGGGGUCCUACACCACCCCCAGUCCUGGUUGGGAAGGGGCCAGGCCUGGGAACCCUUUGCUGCCUCUCAAAGUACCACAGGAGAACUUUCUCCUGAAAUGGGGCCUUUCUGCCCAGCCUCCUUCUUUCCCCAAUAACCUCUCCCCUCACCUGCCCUCUGGACUCCCUCUAGAGUUUUAUUUUUUUUUAAGCAGAGAGGACUGGAAAGCUGAUGAGAGUCACAGUGAGCAUGGAUUCUGGAAGCCACUCACCCUGACUUCCCUCCCACUGGAGCAGCGACCGCAGAGGACCGUGAGAGGAAAGACAGGCUGUGGGCCGCGGCCAGCUCAGAUGCAGCCCACUAUCGGGUUGUGACCCCCGCCGAGCCGAUGGAGACAGUGACCCGUGGGUGGGAGGGAAGCUCAGGGAGAGGUCAGGGGUGAAAACAAAAGUCCCAGCUCUUAACACCCGUGAACACCCCCAACACAGACAAAUCUUGGAGCUUCUGGGGGUGAAACAGAAAACCUGCCCAAAUUCAGGACAGAACAUAGUUUCAGGCUGUCCACAAGCUCCUUAGACUUCCACUGUCAACAUGCACAGGAAUGUUUGCUACUGUAUUUGUUCCUAACUGGGAAGAAUUCGAUGUUCUAGAAUUAGAAGGCCUAGAGCAGCUCGGGCUCCAUCACUAAGGACCACAGACUGUGGGGCUUAAACAAGAGAAAUUUGUUCUCUCACAGUUCUGGGCACUGGGAGGCCCAGAUCAGGGUGUUAAAAGGGUUGGUUUCUUCUGAGUCCUCUCUCGCGGCUUGCAGGUGGCCGUCUUCCUCCCGCGUCUUCACAUGGUCUUUUUUGUUGGCGUCUGUGUCCUGAUCUCGUCUUCUCAGAGACAGUCUGUUGUGGUUAGAAAGAACAGGAAGAUCUACGUGUAUUGGCAGGGAAAGAGUUUCCAGCUAUUGUUGAGUGGGGAAAGUCAGUCACAGGACAAUAUGUUGAGGGGCGAGGGUGGGAAGAGUGCUCAGUUCUUCACUCUCUCCCUCGCCCUGGCUUUACAGCCUCUCCCACCGUGGGCCGAGUACAUUUCCCAGCCCCAGGGAUGUUGAACUUGGCCAGGUGACUUGGUUUGGCCAAUGGAACUCAACGGAGGCACCCAGAGCAGACACCUUCAAUGUGCUUACUUGGCAGAGCUUGGUCUCUUGGGAUGCUGUGACCCCCAGUGAGAAGAAUACAUCCCAGGGAAAGGCUGGUCCAAGGAGAACGUGGAGAUGUGACAAGCAGAACUGAGCCCAACCUCAGCCUGGAGCUAGCCCAGUAACUCACAUACCCAGGAGCAAGAAAAAUACACACUUACCUGGAAAGCAUUAUGCUGAGUGAAGUCAGCCAGACACAAAGGACCAAUAUUGUCUGAUUCCAUUUGUGUGAAAUAUUUAGAAUAGGCAAAUCCAUAGAAAGUAGACCAGAGGCUACCAGGGGCUGGAGGGAGAGGCGAAUGGGGAGUUAAUUACUUAAUGGGUACAGAGUUUCGGCUUCGGGGGAUGAAAAGGUUUUCGAAAUAGUUGAGACUUGCACAACAUUGAGAAUGUACUUAAUGCCACUGAACUGGGCACCUAAAAAUGGUUAAAAUGGUAGAUUUCGUGUUAUAUAUAUUUUACCACAAUUUCAAAAAACGAUGUAAUACAUACAGUCAUGAACCACAACGAUGGACCAAAUAUACGACAGUGGUCCCGUAAGAUUAGUACCAUGUAGCCUAGGUGUGUAGGAGGCUCUGCCUUCUAGGUGUGUGUACGUAUACUCUCUGAUGUUCACACGACGACGAAAUUGCCUAAUGACGACGCAUUUCUCAGAACGCAUCCCUGUUGUUAAAUGGCUGUACACAGAAGCCAUUGAAUUGUACGCUUUAAAUGGGUGAAUUGUAUAGGAUGUGAAUCAUAUUUCAAUAAAGCUAUUUUUUAAAAGC